Molecule: ribosomal RNA, 447 nt
Filed under: uncultured bacterium
Lineage: Bacteria
Description: bacterial SSU rRNA
Rfam family: Bacterial small subunit ribosomal RNA
Source: RNAcentral
ACCCCAGACUCCUACGGGAGGCAGCAGUGGGGAAUAUUGCACAAUGGGGGAAACCCUGAUGCAGCGACGCCGCGUGAGCGAUGAAGUCUUUCGGUAUGUAAAGCUCUAUCAGCAGGGAAGAAGAUGACGGUACCUGACUAAGAAGCCCCGGCUAACUACGUGCCGGCAGCCGCGGUAAUACGUAGGGGGCAAGCGUUAUCCGGAUUUACUGGGUGUAAAGGGAGCGUAGACGGCGAUGCAAGCCAGAUGUGAAAGCCCGGGGCUCAACCCCGGGACUGCAUUUGGAACUGUGUGGCUGGAGUGUCGGAGAGGCAGGCGGAAUUCCUGGUGUAGCGGUGAAAUGCGUAGAUAUCAGGAGGAACACCGGUGGCGAAGGCGGCCUGCUGGACUGCAACUGACGUUGAGGCCCGAAAGCGUGGGGAGCAAACAGGAUUAGAUACCCUCGUA